Non-coding RNA from Aphelenchus avenae, 80 nucleotides. Lineage: Eukaryota; Metazoa; Nematoda; Chromadorea; Rhabditida; Aphelenchidae. The record is from the annotation of a GenBank genome assembly.
GGUCGUAUGGCCGAGCGGUCCAAGGCGCUCUCUUGCGUCUUCUGCUCGGUCGGUCAGGGGUUCGAUCCCCGCCGCGGCCA